CAGGUGAGACAGAGGUGUGUCAUGUAAGACAGGUGAGACAGAGGUUUAUCAGGUGAGACACAGGUUUAUCAGGUGACAGAGGUGUGUCAGGUAAGACAGGUGAGACAGAGGUGUGUCAGGUACGACAGGUGAGACAGAGGUGAGACAGAGGUGUGUCAG
Micropterus salmoides (largemouth bass) is the source of this 159-nucleotide long non-coding RNA. RefSeq lists it as uncharacterized. The record is from RefSeq and is a predicted model, not a curated record. NCBI's taxonomy places the organism in Eukaryota, Metazoa, Chordata, Actinopteri, Centrarchiformes, Centrarchidae. The transcript is spliced from 3 exons.